Molecule: ribosomal RNA, 252 nt
Filed under: uncultured bacterium
Lineage: Bacteria
Description: partial 16S ribosomal RNA
Rfam family: Bacterial small subunit ribosomal RNA
Source: RNAcentral
UACGGAGGGGGCUAGCGUUGUUCGGAAUUACUGGGCGUAAAGCGCACGUAGGCGGCUUUGCAAGUUAGAGGUGAAAGCCCGGGGCUCAACUCCGGAAUUGCCUUUAAAACUGCAUCGCUAGGAUUGUGGAGAGGUAAGUGGAAUUCCGAGUGUAGAGGUGAAAUUCGUAGAUAUUCGGAAGAACACCAGUGGCGAAGGCGACUUACUGGACACAUAUUGACGCUGAGGUGCGAAAGCGUGGGGAGCAACAGG